This 7538-nucleotide long non-coding RNA is filed under the name Homo sapiens (human). RNAcentral describes it as "HSALNT0019165". The record is from RNAcentral. Lineage: Eukaryota; Metazoa; Chordata; Mammalia; Primates; Hominidae.
GAUGUAUUGGAGCUCCAUUGUAUGUUAUUUGUUUCUUUUCUCUUGCUUGCUUUUAGGAUCCUUUCUGUAUCCUUGAUCUUUGGCUGUUUGAUUAUUAAAUGCCUUGAGGUAGCCUUCUUUGGGUUGCACUUCCUUGGUCUUCUAUAAGCUUUUUGUACUUAGAUAUUGAUAUCUUUCUCUGGGUUUGGCAAGUUCUCUGUUUUUAUCCCUUUAAAUAAACUUUCUACCCCCAUCUCUUUCUCUACCUCCGCUUUAAGACCAAUAACUCUUAGAUUUGCUCUUUUGAGGCUAUUUUCUAGAUCCUGUAGAUGUGCUUCAUUGUUUUAUAUUAUUUUGUCUCCUUGGAUUAUGUAUUUUCAAACAGCCUGUCUUCAAGCUCACUAAUUCUUUCUUUUGUUUGAGCUAUUAAAGAACUCUAAUGCAUUCGUCAUUAUGCCAAUUGCAUUUUUCAGCUCCAGAAUUUCUGCUUGAUUGCUUUUAAUUAUUUCAAUCUCUUUGUUAAAUUUAUCUGAUACAAUUCUGAAUUUAUUUGUGUUCUCUUAAAUUUAUUUGAGUUUUUCAAAAAACAGCCAUUUUGAAUUCUCUAUCUGAAAUAUUGUAUAUCUCCAUUUCUCUAGAACUGGUCCCUGUUACCUUCUUUAGUUCAUUUGGUGAGGUUGUGUUUUCUGGAUGCUGUUGAUGCUUGUACAUGUUCUUCAGUUUCUGGGCAUUAAAGAGUUAGAUAUUUAUUGUAGUCUUCACAGUCUGAGCUUGUUUGUGCCUAUCAAACAAGCCUUGGGCAGGCUUUGCAGGUAUUUGAAGGGAUGUGGGCUCAAAGCCAAAUAAUGCUACAGGUUUUGUAGACUCAUAUAAGUAUUGCCUUGAUGGUCUUGGGUAGGAUCUGGAAGAAUUCUCUGGAUUAACAGGCAGAGACCUUUGUUCUUUUCCCUUACUCUCUCCCAAACAUGUGGAUUGUCUCUCUCUGUCCUGAGCCACCUGGAACUGAGGGUGUGUUGAUGCAAGCACCUCUGUGACCACCACUAGGAGGACUGCAGUGCAUCAGAUCUGAAGCCAGUACAGCACUUGCCUUGCCAAAGGCCCUUCCCUUCAUGGUGAAGGAAGAAGGAGCAGAUGUGACAGUUUCUCCAAAUAAGCUUUGGAUCUCAUAAUCUGCGGUUCCUGUUCUGUGGAUCGACUUCAAUGCUCAUGCAGGGUAAUAUCAAGCUUUUAUCACAUCACACUGCUCAGAGAACUGGCACUACAUUGCUCUGGUAAAGAAAAACUGUUUUCUGACUGGACGCCAUGGCUCCUACCUGUAAUUCUAGUACUUUGGGAGGCUGAAGCAGGCAGAUCACUUGAGGUCAGGAGUUUGAGAGCAGCCUGGCUAAUAUGGUGAAACCCUGUUUCUACUGAAAAUACAAAAAUUAGCAAGGCGUGGUGGUGUGCACCUGUAGUGCCAGGUACUGGGGAGGCUGAGGUGGAAGGAUGGCUUGAACCCAGGAGGUGGAGGUUGCAGUCACUCGAGAUCUUGCCACUGCACUCCCGCUUGGGUGACAGAGUGAGACCUUAUCUCAAAAAAAAAAAAAAAAAGGAUAAAAAAGAAAGAAAAACUUUUUUUCUAAUAUGGUCAUUUGAUUUACACACCCCCUCACUGCAGACUAAGGAACAUCCCAUUUGCUGACAUUCUCUACAACAUAUUCAGAAUUUAUCAUUUUGCUAUUAGAUAAAUGUAAAAUGGUUUCCAAUUGGGGUUUCAAUUUACCUUUUCCUUAUUCAUAAGAAAAAGAUUUAAAAACAGACAUUCAAUGUCUUUUUAAAAUUUGAAUGUCUUUUUAAAAUUUGUUGAGUUUGUUAUCUAUUUGUAAUCCUUGUUCUAUGAACUAUAGCUUCUUCUAGCUAGUAUUUUUUAUACAAACAUCUAAUAUGUUUGUUACUAAUAAAGCUAUGCUAUUUUCUUUUGGUUAGUGUUUACAUAUUUUACCCUCUUUUACUUUUACACUCAACUUUUUUCUCUGUCCUUAUGAAUUAGGGUGUGGUUUUACAGAGAACUUGGAUUAAUUUUUCAUUUAUCAGUUUUUUAAGUGGAAUUUUAGUCCAUUUAAUGUAAGUAGAUAUUUGAAGGUCAUAUUUACCAACUUAUUUUUGGCCUUUCAGUUGCCUCACAUGUUCUACUUUUUAUUGCCCUGCUUUUUUACCCCUUCAGGGAUCAAGUGAGUUUUUUUGUUUGUUUGUUUGUUUGUUUGUUUCUAUUUUUCUCCUUUACUAGUUUGGAAUCUUUAUACUCUGUUUCUGCUCUAGUGGUAACAACAGAAAUUACAUUAUGCCUAUUUAACACAUAAUCUAAGUUAAUCAAUAUAUUUCAUGUUCUCCCCAACAUCAGUCUCUCAGAUCACUUUGCUUUUAAAUCUCUCAUCUUAUGAAAUUUUACUGGGUAAUAUAAUUUUAUUUUUUAUAAUCUAAACAUAUAUUAUUACUUUUUAUACAGUCAGCAGCCAAUAGCCAUAGGAUGUACUCACAUAUUUAACAUAUACUUUGCCCUUGAUUACAUCUUUUACUUCUGACUUUUUAACAAAAAUCUUGUUUGCCUCAAUAUACAUAUGCUCCUAUGUAAAAUAUCUGGCUUUCAACAAGUAAUUAUAAGAUUUGCUAAAGAACAAAACAAACAAAAACAAACACAGUCUGAAAAGAUGAAAAAAAAUAUACUAUAACCAGAAUUGAGUAUGAUAUAAAUUUUAAAAAAAGAAAGUUAUUUAAAAGACUGAGAAUUUGAAAUAUCUAUUUUUAGUGUGUUAAAGACCAAUAGUAAAGGUCUGCAAUAUGCCAAAUCAAAUAGAUAAUUUAAUCAAAGAGAUGGAAACUAUAAGAAAGAAUAAAUAGAAACACUAGUUAUAAAAACACAGUAAAAGAAAUGAAGAAGUCUUUUAACAGGCUUGUGUUAGUUCAUUAGCACACUGCCAUAAAUAAAUACCUGAGACUGGGUAAUUUAGAAAGAACAGGGGUUUAAUUGACUCACAGUCGCACAUGGCUGGGGAGGCCUCCAGAAACUUACAAUCAUGGUGGAAGGCAAAGGAGACGCAAAAGCAUGUCUAACAUGGCAGCAGGCGAGAGUGAGUGUGUGUCAAUGCAGAAAAACCUACCAUUUAUAAAACCAUCAGAUUUCCUGAGGACUCACUCACUAUCAUGAGAGCAACAUGGGGGAAACAGCCCCCAUAAUCCAAUCACUUCCCACCAGGUCCCUCUCUAAACACCUCAGAGUUACAAUUCCCAGUAAGAUUUGGAUGGGGAUGUAAAACCUAACCACAUGAAAGCUCAUCAGUAAAUUUGACAAAGCUCAAGAAAUUCAGUAAACCUGAAGAUAUAUCAACAGAUUUACUGAAAUUGAAAUUCAAGAAAAAAAAUGAGUAUAACUGGCCAGGCACAGUGGCUCAUGCCAGUAAUCCCAGCACUUUGGGAGGCCAAGGUGGGUGAAUCACUUGAGGUCAGGAGUUCAAGACUAGCUUGGCCAAUAUGGCAAAACCCUGUCUCUAGUAAAAAUACAAAAACUAGUUGGGCAUGGUGGCACACGCCUGUAAUCCUAACUAUCUGGAGACUGAGGGACAAGCUUCACUUAAACCUGGGAGAUGGAGGUUACAGUGAGCCGAGAUUGUACCACUGCACUCCAGCCUGGGUAACAGAGUGAAACUGUCUCACAAAAAAAAAAAAAAAAAAAAAUGAGUAUAACUAAAGAACAGAACAUUCAAGGGCUAUGAGACAAUAAUAAAUGACAUAAUGUGUGUAAUUAGAAUCUCAGGAAAAAACACACACACACAAACAAUAAAAUGUGAGACAAAUUGACUCACAUUUUAUAUGCCUGAAAACGUCUUUAUUUCUCCACUAUUGAAGGAUAUUUUCUUUAUAUGUAAAUUUCUCUAUAUCUAAGUUUCAUAGCAGUAGGUCUGCUGUGGUUUGAAUAUUUGUCUCCUCUAAAACUCAUGUUGAAAACUAAUCCCCAAUUUUAUAGUAUUGAGAGGUGGAGGCUUUAAGUGGAGAUUGGGUCAUAAGGGCUCUGUUCUCAUGAAUGAAUUAAUGAAUUAAUGGAUUUAUUGGUUAUGGGUUAUCAUGAGAGUGGGUUAGUUAUCAAGAGGCUAGGUAUGUUAUAAAAGUCAGAUUGGCUCUCUUGUGAGUCCCUUUGCUUUGUGAUGCCCUCUCCUGCCCAGGGACUCUGCAGAGAGUCCUAGUUACCAAGAAGGCUCUCACAAGAUGCAGCUUCUAGACCUUGGACUUCCCAGCCUCCAGAAGGAUAAGAUACAAAUUUAUUUUCUUUGUAAAUUACCUAGUCUGUGGUAUUAUGUUAUAGCAACAGAAAAUGGGCUAAGACACCUACCGUACAAAAUGGGUUAAAGUUCUGUUGGCAAGAUCAUUUUUGUAACAUCAGAAUCCUGAAUAUACACAGAGAAAUAAAGAUCAUUUGGAGUGGAAUAAGUGAAUGUCUGAAGGUUAUACAUAAUUUGUGUAUGUUUACAUAUGUGUAUAUACAUAUGUCCAUGUAUAUAUAUAUACUCAUACAUGUAUCUCUACAUAAGUUUAUAUGUAAUAUAUAUAAUAUAAAAUAGUGCUCUUAAAAUAACUAACUUUAAAGAUAAUUUUAAAAAUUACUUAAAGAUAGCUAACUUUAAGGCAAUAACAGUAAUGAUGCCUUGGCUGUUUCUUUCUCUCUCCAUACACACACAGACACACACACUUAUACGAUGUAAUGUAAAAACUUGUUUACUCAGUAUGCAUUCAUAUUUACUAAAGAAGAUGUACUCUCCUUUUCUUGUACCAUUUAUUCAUAAUCUCCAGAAGAUUGGGGGAUGAGUGAAAGCAGAAGAAUCAAAUAACAUUCAAGUACUUGCAUAGGUAGUGUUUCAUUUUAUUUAAUGUGGAUUAUAAUAUUCGUCCUAUACUAUAAACCUGGAGACUAUUCUAGCACCAAGACAUCUUAAUCUUCCUCUGGGACACUCUAAAUUAUUUGUUUGAUUACAUAUAAUUAUGCACUAGUGUAGAUUCUCAGAUAUAAUACUGAGGAGAAUUUGGUUUUCUAUGUCUUGUCAUGUGAUUAAUUUUAUGAAAAAGAGAAUUAUUUUAUAAUGUUAUAAAAGAUAAUGUUAAAACAGGAAAAUGACAAAUUAUUUGGGUAAUGCCAUCCCAAACAUCUAUUUUAAAUCAAAGUUACCUAUAAAGGCUUUUCUAAUGAGAUCAUAAAAAUCUUAAAUGUAAUGUGUGCUAUGUACACGGAAGUGUAACCUAGGUGCAGCAUGCUAUCAAUUUGCAGAAGCAACCCUAAAUAAUAAACUAUAUUUUCAUAUAAAAUCAUAGAAAAAAUUAGUCAAUAAUGGACAAAAUUCCAUUUCUCUGGGUAAUUAUAGUCAUUAUCUUUAUAAAAUAAAACUUCAGAAAAAUUAUCCCUGCCAAAGUUUCUAUUUUUUCUCCACUCCAGUGACUUGCUAAUAACUAACAUUGUUAUAUGCUUUCAUCUAAUUUAAUAAAGAACAUUAAUCAUCUAUUAGUUGGUUCUUUAGCUUAACUUUAUUUGCUCUAAUCCACAAAUAAGACAGCUAGAGCUUGAAGUUGUUAGCAUUGGGAUUCUAUUAGGAUAUAGCAUUUAUCUUGUCCCUUCAUAUUAGUUCAGUUAAUUGCAUUUGAUUUUUUAUUAUUCUACUUAAUGAAAUAUAUACACUAUUAUAUGUAGUGCCAGCCCUAAGCAAAAUAGUUAAGCAAAUUAAUGUGCCUUCACUUUUUCCCUGUAUAUUGCUCUUCCCUUAUAUUUAGGAAGAAACCUAUAGAAAAGUUAUUAAACAAAAUGAUUGAUUAGGUUGGCUUGUCAAGCAUCACUGCAAGUGAAUGGCAUGAGAGUUUGGGACAUUUGAACCUUUUGCAAUGUUGUUGUCUAAAGAGUUUGUACAUGGAGUGAUCACAUGUAUAUAAUAAAUGAAAUAUGCUAACCUAAAUAAUAUGAUUAUAGACAAAACUGGGUGUACACAGUGAACACAUGAGAAUGCAAAAGUAAUGGAAGAAAUCAAUGAUUUCUAUUAUACAUUAUCUAGCAGAGCAUAUUAUAUGAGAAUGAGUUACCCAUUAGUGACAAUAUUAUUAAAAAUAAAUCAUAAACUAUUCUCCUAUGAAUACAUUUAAGUGCAGUUUUAUGUUGUCACAAAAGAACAAACUUGCAGGGGCUAGAAACAUUGCAAAAGUAGGAACUCUAAGAGGUAAUCAAUUAUCAAGACAGUUUCUAUCAGAGAUUCCCUAUGGACCUUAUGUCUUAGUCAGUUUGGGCUGCUAAAACAAAUUACCAUAGACUAGGUGGCAUAAAUGACAAGCAUUAAUUUCUUAGAGUUCUGGAGGCUGAGACAUCCAAGAACAAGGUACCAGCAUAUCCCCUGUCUGUUCAGGGCCCACUUCCUGUCUUAUAGACAGCCACCUACCUACUCACUGUAUCUAUUGGGGGAACCCGCCCCAGAUAUUUCAAUGUAGGUUAUUUCUAUUUUUCGUAAGUGUUGGCUGGCUGAGAAAUAAAGAAAAAGUGUACAAAGAGAGGAAUUUUACAGCUGGGCCUCCAGGGGUGACAUCACAUAUUGGUAGGACCAUGAUACCCACCUGAGCUGCAAAACCAGCAAGUUUUUAUUAAGGAUUUCAAGAGGAGAGGGGGUGUAAGAACAUGGAGUAUGUCACAGAGAUCACAUGCUUCAAAGGGCAAAAGCAGAACAAAGAUCACAUGCUUUUGAGGAAACAGGACAAGGACAAAAUCAGAACUACUGAUAAGGGUCCAACAAAGAUCGCAAGGCAAAGGGCAAAAGCAGAAUUACUGAUAAGGGUCUAUGUUCAGUGGUGCAUGUAUUGUCUUGAUAAACAUCUUAAACAACAGAAAACAGGGUUUGAGAGCAGAGAACCGGUCUGACCACAAAUUUACCAGGAUGGAGUUUCCCAAUCCUAGUAAGCCUGAGGGUACUGCAGGAGACCAGGGCUUAUUUCAGUCCUUAUCUCAACCGCAUAAGACAGACACUCCCAGAGCUGCCAUUUAUAGAUCUCCCCCCCAGAAUGCAUUUCUUCCCCAGGGUAUUAAUUAUUAAUAUUCCUUGCUAGGAAAAGAAUUUAGCAAUAUCUUCCCUACUUGCACAUCUGUUUAUAGGCUCUCUGCAAGAAGAAAAAUAUGGCUCCAUUUUGCCCAACCUCGCAUGCAGUCAGACCUUAUGGUUGUCUUCCCUUUUUCCCUGAAAAUUGCUGUUAUUCUGUUCUUUUUCAAGGUGCACUGAUUUCAUAUUGUUCAAACACACAUGUUUUACAAUCAAUUUGUACAGUUAACACAAAUAUCAUAGUGGUCCUGAGGUGACACACAUCCUCAGUUUACAAAGAUAACAGGAUUAAGAGAUUAAAGUAAGACAGGUGUAAGAAAUUAUAAGAGUAUUAUUUGGGAACUGAUAAAUGUCCAUGAAAUCUUCACAAUUUAUGUUUCUCUGCCUUGGCUCCAGCUGGUCCCUCCAUUUGGAGUCCCUGACUUCCCACAACAUGUAUCUUUACAUGGCUGAGAGAGAGAUCAUCUU